AUGGAGGUGACGUUCGAGACGACGCAGGGUCGCCGAUUCACCGUCGAGAUUUGGUACUUGUCCACCGUGCGGAGGAUCAAGGAGUACAUCCUGAAGCAGGAGGGCAUCCCCGUGGAGUCCCAGCGCCUCUUCUUCCAUGGCCAGGAGCUCGAGGACGACCGCGACACCCGGCACUACCCCAUCGUGGAGGGAUCCCACGUGCUCAUCGUCCUGCCGGAUGACUCCCCCACUGCCGCCGGCGCCGUCGUCCGCGUCGUCGCCUCCGGGCCGGCCCUCGGCCAGGGCCGGCGCAUCGCGCUCGACCUGGACGCGUCCUGCACCAUCGCCCGCCUGAAGGAGUUGCUCCAGGAGCGCACAGACGGGGCGGUGCCGGCCACAACGGUGAGCGUGUUCUUGGAGAAGGCGGAGAUGGAGGAUCACAAGGAGCUGGCGCAGUUCAACCCGCCGGCCGACGGGAUGGAGAUGGAGGUGCGCGUGGUCGUGCGCCAGCCGCCGCCGCCGCCAGUGUGCAACGACGGGAACGGGGUGGCCAAGGUUAACAAGCCGCAGCAGCGGAUGUCUGUGGAGGUGAAGUGGGGCGCCAAGGCCGUGACGUUGGAGGUGAGCGACAUGGACGCCGUCAAGGAGCUGCGGGCGGAGCUGGGCAGCGCGGCGCCGCACCUCCUCCUGCCGGACGACGGCGCCUACUUCUUCAUCUACAAGCAGAAUGUCAUGGAGGAGGAGCGCACGCUGCGCUGGCACGACGUCAAGAGCGGCGACACCAUCGAGAUCUUCAACGGCAGGGUCACCGGAGGCGCUUGA
This 801-nucleotide ribosomal RNA is filed under the name Triticum aestivum (bread wheat). RNAcentral describes it as "partial small subunit ribosomal RNA". Lineage: Eukaryota; Viridiplantae; Streptophyta; Magnoliopsida; Poales; Poaceae. The record is from RNAcentral.